Molecule: ribosomal RNA, 490 nt
Filed under: uncultured bacterium
Lineage: Bacteria
Description: partial 16S ribosomal RNA
Rfam family: Bacterial small subunit ribosomal RNA
Source: RNAcentral
AUUGAACGCUGGCGGCAGGCCUAACACAUGCAAGUCGAACGGUAACAGGGAUCAGCUUGCUGAUUCGCUGACGAGUGGCGGACGGGUGAGCAAUGUCUGGGAAACUGCCUGAUGGAGGGGGAUAACUACUGGAAACGGUAGCUAAUACCGCAUAACGUCGCAAGACCAAAGAGGGGGACCUUCGGGCCUCUUGCCAUCGGAUGUGCCCAGAUGGGAUUAGCUAGUAGGUGGGGUAACGGCUCACCUAGGCGACGAUCCCUAGCUGGUCUGAGAGGAUGACCAGCCACACUGGAACUGAGACACGGUCCAGACUCCUACGGGAGGCAGCAGUGGGGAAUAUUGCACAAUGGGCGCAAGCCUGAUGCAGCCAUGCCGCGUGUAUGAAGAAGGCCUUCGGGUUGUAAAGUACUUUCAGCGGGGAGGAAGGGAGUAAAGUUAAUACCUUGGCUCAUUGACGUUACCCGCAGAAGAAGCACCGGCUAACUCCGUG